AGUGAACGCUGGCGGUAGGCCUAACACAUGCAAGUCGAACGGCAGCACAGUAAGAGCUUGCUCCUACGGGUGGCGAGUGGCGGACGGGUGAGGAAUACAUCGGAAUCUACUUUUUCGUGGGGGAUAACGUAGGGAAACUUACGCUAAUACCGCAUACGACCUACGGGUGAAAGCAGGGGAUCUUCGGACCUUGCGCGAUUGAAUGAGCCGAUGUCGGAUUAGCUAGUUGGCGGGGUAAAGGCCCACCAAGGCGACGAUCCGUAGCUGGUCUGAGAGGAUGAUCAGCCACACUGGAACUGAGACACGGUCCAGACUCCUACGGGAGGCAGCAGUGGGGAAUAUUGGACAAUGGGCGCAAGCCUGAUCCAGCCAUACCGCGUGAGUGAAGAAGGCCUUCGGGUUGUAAAGCCCUUUUGUUGGGAAAGAAAAGCAGCAGGUUAAUACCCCGCUGUUCUGACGGUACCCAAAGAAUAAGCACCGGCUAACUUCGUG
RNAcentral lists this ribosomal RNA (492 nucleotides) under uncultured bacterium. RNAcentral describes it as "partial 16S ribosomal RNA". It matches the Rfam family "Bacterial small subunit ribosomal RNA", at positions 29 to 507 of the family's 1533-position model. The record is from RNAcentral.